RNAcentral lists this long non-coding RNA (844 nucleotides) under Sinocyclocheilus anshuiensis. RNAcentral describes it as "lncRNA (ENSSANG00000050273.1)". The record is from RNAcentral. Lineage: Eukaryota; Metazoa; Chordata; Actinopteri; Cypriniformes; Cyprinidae.
AAGCGAUAUAGGGUGGAAAUGUUUGCAAGGGGUUCUGUACUGAGAGCAAUAUGCACCCUUUUUCUCUGUCUGUCACUCUCAGUGUCUGUAAAAACACAAAAUUAAAAAUAAAAUGGAACCAAAUAAAAUAUAACCAACUACACCAUCAUCACCAUGAUAAACUGACAAAGAAAUUUUUGUUAUUGUCAGUUGAGCGAAAUUCAAGGUUCUUGAACUCUUGCACAUGACACCAUAUCUUAACCAGACACAAAUACAGUCAAAGCUGUCUCUUUUUUGUUAAUCUGAGUUUCUGCCCCAGACAUGAAACAUACUAGUCCAGAAAACCAUGUUUAUUUACACCAGUUCUGGACAGUCACGUAGAUGGUGUCUAUUCUACAUCUCUUCUAAUUCACUAGGCUGUGAGACAGAGGCAACAGGCUAAGCAGGAGGUGCAAGAGAGCUAUGCACUCUUGCACGGAGAAAAGGAUCAGCUUCAGGAGCAGGUGGCUACCCUGCAGACCACUGCACAUCGGCUGCAGGGAGAGAAAGCUGAGCUGGAGAGGACACUGCUCCGUCUGGAAAAAGACAGGUCCUCUCUAAAGCAUAUCCUGGAGAAGGUAGAAAAAAAUCGCCAAAGGAAGGAGGCAGAGGUAUUGCAUGCUGAGCGUGAGAGAGAACAGCAAGAACAAAAGAUCCGAAAUCUAGAGCAAGAUUUAAGCGAGACACAGGCCGAAAUUCACACGCUACAGUCACAGAUCUCUAUCUUGGAGCAGACUCACUCCCAGAGGCUCCUGGAAGUGACGGCUCGCCACAGGCAAGAGCUGGACCUGGAGACCGAGCGGAUGAGGGACUCCCAGCAGCAGGC